This 22-nucleotide non-coding RNA is filed under the name Rattus norvegicus (Norway rat). The record is from RNAcentral. Lineage: Eukaryota; Metazoa; Chordata; Mammalia; Rodentia; Muridae.
UGCAACUGAAUGGUGACUAGAU